GACGAACGCUGGCGGCGUGCUUAACACAUGCAAGUCGAACGGAAAGGCCCUGCUUUUGUGGGGUGCUCGAGUGGCGAACGGGUGAGUAACACGUGAGUAACCUGCCCUUGACUUUGGGAUAACUUCAGGAACUGGGGCUAAUACCGGAUAGGAGCUCCUGCUGCAUGGUGGGGGUUGGAAAGUUUCGGCGGUUGGGGAUGGACUCGCGGCUUAUCAGCUUGUUGGUGGGGUAGUGGCUUACCAAGGCUUUGACGGGUAGCCGGCCUGAGAGGGUGACCGGCCACAUGGGAACUGAGAUACGCCCCCGACCCCUAGGGGGGGCAGAGGGGGGGAAAUUUGCAAAAGGGGGGGAAGCCUGAUGCAGCAACGCCGGGGGGGGGAGGAGGGCCUUGGGGUGGUAAACCGUUUUCGCCUGGGAGGAAGGGGGGGUGACGGUAAUGGGAAAAGAAGCACCGGAUAACUACGU
This 466-nucleotide ribosomal RNA is filed under the name uncultured bacterium. RNAcentral's name for it is "partial 16S ribosomal RNA". It matches the Rfam family "Bacterial small subunit ribosomal RNA", at positions 28 to 506 of the family's 1533-position model. The record is from RNAcentral.